CCUACGGUAGGCUGCAGUGGGGAAUAUUGGACAAUGGGCGAAAGCCUGAUCCAGCCAUGCCGCGUGUGUGAAGAAGGCCUUCGGGUUGUAAAGCACUUUCAGUGGGGAAGAAAGCCUUGGGGCUAAUACCCUCGAGGAAGGACAUCACCCACAGAAGAAGCACCGGCUAACUCCGUGCCAGCAGCCGCGGUAAUACGGAGGGUGCGAGCGUUAAUCGGAAUUACUGGGCGUAAAGCGCGCGUAGGCGGUCUGAUAAGCCGGUUGUGAAAGCCCCGGGCUCAACCUGGGAACGGCAUCCGGAACUGUCAGGCUAGAGUGCAGGAGAGGAAGGUAGAAUUCCCGGUGUAGCGGUGAAAUGCGUAGAGAUCGGGAGGAAUACCAGUGGCGAAGGCGGCCUUCUGGACUGACACUGACGCUGAGGUGCGAAAGCGUGGGUAGCAAACAGGAUUAGAUACCCGUGUAGUC
This 465-nucleotide ribosomal RNA is filed under the name Vreelandella stevensii. RNAcentral describes it as "partial 16S ribosomal RNA". It matches the Rfam family "Bacterial small subunit ribosomal RNA", at positions 338 to 795 of the family's 1533-position model. The record is from RNAcentral. Lineage: Bacteria; Pseudomonadati; Pseudomonadota; Gammaproteobacteria; Oceanospirillales; Halomonadaceae.